RNAcentral lists this non-coding RNA (163 nucleotides) under Helianthus annuus (common sunflower). RNAcentral describes it as "sRNA HanXRQr2_Chr12g0557381". It matches the Rfam family "Bacterial small subunit ribosomal RNA", at positions 359 to 541 of the family's 1533-position model. Lineage: Eukaryota; Viridiplantae; Streptophyta; Magnoliopsida; Asterales; Asteraceae. The record is from Rfam by way of RNAcentral.
CUUUACACUUUGGUAUUAUCUCGGAGCAAUGUCGCGUGGAGGUAGAAGGCCCACGGGUCGUGAACUUCUUUUCUUGUAGAAGAAGCAAUGACGGUAUCUAGAGAAUAAGCAUCAGCUAACUCUAUGUCAGCAGCCGUGGUAAUACAAAGGAUGCAAGUGUAAG